Molecule: ribosomal RNA, 704 nt
Filed under: Bacillus sp. TAD044
Lineage: Bacteria; Bacillati; Bacillota; Bacilli; Caryophanales; Bacillaceae
Also listed under: 1 other name
Description: bacterial SSU rRNA
Rfam family: Bacterial small subunit ribosomal RNA
Source: RNAcentral
AGUCGAGCGAAUGGAUUAAGAGCUUGCUCUUAUGAAGUUAGCGGCGGACGGGUGAGUAACACGUGGGUAACCUACCCAUAAGACUGGGAUAACUCCGGGAAACCGGGGCUAAUACCGGAUAAUAUUUUGAACUGCAUAGUUCGAAAUUGAAAGGCGGCUUCGGCUGUCACUUAUGGAUGGACCCGCGUCGCAUUAGCUAGUUGGUGAGGUAACGGCUCACCAAGGCGACGAUGCGUAGCCGACCUGAGAGGGUGAUCGGCCACACUGGGACUGAGACACGGCCCAGACUCCUACGGGAGGCAGCAGUAGGGAAUCUUCCGCAAUGGACGAAAGUCUGACGGAGCAACGCCGCGUGAGUGAUGAAGGCUUUCGGGUCGUAAAACUCUGUUGUUAGGGAAGAACAAGUGCUAGUUGAAUAAGCUGGCACCUUGACGGUACCUAACCAGAAAGCCACGGCUAACUACGUGCCAGCAGCCGCGGUAAUACGUAGGUGGCAAGCGUUAUCCGGAAUUAUUGGGCGUAAAGCGCGCGCAGGUGGUUUCUUAAGUCUGAUGUGAAAGCCCACGGCUCAACCGUGGAGGGUCAUUGGAAACUGGGAGACUUGAGUGCAGAAGAGGAAAGUGGAAUUCCAUGUGUAGCGGUGAAAUGCGUAGAGAUAUGGAGGAACACCAGUGGCGAAGGCGACUUUCUGGUCUGUAACUGAC